GUUGACCUCGGAUCAGGUAGGACUACCCGCUGAACUUAAGCAUAUCAAUAAGCGGAGGAAAAGAAACCAACAGGGAUUGCCCCAGUAACGGCGAGUGAAGCGGCAACAGCUCAAAUUUGAAAUCUGGCCCCAGGCCCGAGUUGUAAUUUGCAGAGGAUGCUUUUGGCGCGGUGCCUUCCGAGUUCCCUGGAACGGGACGCCAUAGAGGGUGAGAGCCCCGUACGGUUGGGCACCAAGCCUUUGUAAAGCUCCUUCGACGAGUCGAGUAGUUUGGGAAUGCUGCUCUAAAUGGGAGGUACAUUUCUUCUAAAGCUAAAUAUUGGCCAGAGACCGAUAGCGCACAAGUAGAGUGAUCGAAAGAUGAAAAGCACUUUGAAAAGAGGGUUAAACAGCACGUGAAAUUGUUAAAAGGGAAGCGCUUGUGACCAGACUUGCGUCCGGUGAAUCACCCAGCUCUCGCGGCUGGGGCACUUCGCCGGCACAGGCCAGCAUCAGCUUGCCGUCGGGGACAAAAGCUUCAGGAACGUAGCUCCUCUCGGGGAGUGUUAUAGCCUGUUGUAUAAUACCCUUCGGCGGGCUGAGGUACGCGCUCCGCAAGGAUGCUGGCGUAAUGGUCAUCAGCGAC
This 625-nucleotide ribosomal RNA is filed under the name Colletotrichum godetiae. Its description in RNAcentral is "eukaryotic LSU rRNA". It matches the Rfam family "Eukaryotic large subunit ribosomal RNA", at positions 1 to 648 of the family's 3401-position model. The record is from RNAcentral. Lineage: Eukaryota; Fungi; Ascomycota; Sordariomycetes; Glomerellales; Glomerellaceae.